This 376-nucleotide ribosomal RNA is filed under the name uncultured Serratia sp. Its description in RNAcentral is "bacterial SSU rRNA". It matches the Rfam family "Bacterial small subunit ribosomal RNA", at positions 521 to 896 of the family's 1533-position model. The record is from RNAcentral. Lineage: Bacteria; Pseudomonadati; Pseudomonadota; Gammaproteobacteria; Enterobacterales; Yersiniaceae.
UAAUACGUAGGUGGCAAGCGUUGUCCGGAAUUACUGGGCGUAAAGCGCACGCAGGCGGUUUGUUAAGUCAGAUGUGAAAUCCCCGGGCUCAACCUGGGAACUGCAUUUGAAACUGGCAAGCUAGAGUCUCGUAGAGGGGGGUAGAAUUCCAGGUGUAGCGGUGAAAUGCGUAGAGAUCUGGAGGAAUACCGGUGGCGAAGGCGGCCCCCUGGACGAAGACUGACGCUCAGGUGCGAAAGCGUGGGGAGCAAACAGGAUUAGAUACCCUGGUAGUCCACGCUGUAAACGAUGUCGAUUUGGAGGUUGUGCCCUUGAGGCGUGGCUUCCGGAGCUAACGCGUUAAAUCGACCGCCUGGGGAGUACGGCCGCAAGGUUA